Molecule: ribosomal RNA, 1651 nt
Filed under: Lachnoanaerobaculum umeaense
Lineage: Bacteria; Bacillati; Bacillota; Clostridia; Lachnospirales; Lachnospiraceae
Description: bacterial SSU rRNA
Rfam family: Bacterial small subunit ribosomal RNA
Source: RNAcentral
UUUAUAUGAGAGUUUGAUCCUGGCUCAGGAUGAACGCUGGCGGCGUGCUUAACACAUGCAAGUCGAACGAAGCUAUUAAAAGGAAGUUUUCGGAUGGAAUUUUAAUAGACUUAGUGGCGGACGGGUGAGUAACGCGUGGAUAACCUGCCUUAUACAGGGGGAUAACGGAGAGAAAUUUCCGCUAAGACCGCAUAAGACCACAGCACCGCAUGGUGCAGGGGUAAAAUAUUUAUAGGUAUAAGAUGGAUCCGCGUCCGAUUAGCUAGUUGGUGAGGUAGAGGCUCACCAAGGCGACGAUCGGUAGCCGGCCUGAGAGGGUGAACGGCCACAUUGGGACUGAGACACGGCCCAAACUCCUACGGGAGGCAGCAGUGGGGAAUAUUGGACAAUGGGGGGAACCCUGAUCCAGCGACGCCGCGUGAGUGAAGAAGUAUUUCGGUAUGUAAAGCUCUAUCAGCAGGGAAGAAAAUGACGGUACCUGACUAAGAAGCCCCGGCUAACUACGUGCCAGCAGCCGCGGUAAUACGUAGGGGGCAAGCGUUAUCCGGAUUUACUGGGUGUAAAGGGAGCGCAGACGGCGAUGCAAGUCUGAAGUGAAAGGCGUGGGCUCAACCCAUGAACUGCUUUGGAAACUGUAUAGCUUGAGUGUCGGAGAGGUAAGCGGAAUUCCUAGUGUAGCGGUGAAAUGCGUAGAUAUUAGGAGGAACACCGGAGGCGAAGGCGGCUUACUGGACGACAACUGACGUUGAGGCUCGAAGGCGUGGGGAGCAAACAGGAUUAGAUACCCUGGUAGUCCACGCAGUAAACGAUGAAUACUUGGUGUCGGGGAGGAAAACUCUUCGGUGCCGCAAGCUAACGCAUUAAGUAUUCCACCUGGGGAGUACGUUCGCAAGAAUGAAACUCAAAGGAAUUGACGGGGACCCGCACAAGCGGUGGAGCAUGUGGUUUAAUUCGAAGCAACGCGAAGAACCUUACCAAAUCUUGACAUACUCUUGAAUAGCUUUGUAAUGAAGCUAGCCCUUCGGGGCAAGGGAUACAGGUGGUGCAUGGUUGUCGUCAGCUCGUGUCGUGAGAUGUUGGGUUAAGUCCCGCAACGAGCGCAACCCUUGUCGUCAGUAGCCAGCAGUAAGAUGGGCACUCUGACGAGACAGCCGGAGAUAAUCCGGAGGAAGGUGGGGAUGACGUCAAAUCAUCAUGCCCCUUAUGAUUUGGGCUACACACGUGCUACAAUGGCGUAAACAAAGUGAGGCAAAGCUGCGAAGCCAAGCAAAUCACAAAAAUAACGUCUCAGUUCGGAUUGUAGUCUGCAACUCGACUAUAUGAAGCUGGAAUCGCUAGUAAUCGCAGAUCAGAAUGCUGCGGUGAAUACGUUCCCGGGUCUUGUACACACCGCCCGUCACACCAUGGGAGUCAUCAAUGCCCGAAGUCAGUGACCCAACCCACACUGGUAAACAUAAAGCUGUGAUAAUGAUACAAAGUAAUAAACCGCUAGGUUUAUGGAUGAGUAUCAUUAUAUGAUAUAAAGAAUAGCAGUAAGUUAUGUUUAGCAGUGUGGGAGGGAGCUGCCGAAGGCAGGGAGGAUAACUGGGGUGAAGUCGUAACAAGGUAGCCGUAUCGGAAGGUGCGGCUGGAUCACCUCCUUUCUAAGGAA